This 253-nucleotide ribosomal RNA is filed under the name uncultured bacterium. RNAcentral describes it as "partial 16S ribosomal RNA". It matches the Rfam family "Bacterial small subunit ribosomal RNA", at positions 524 to 776 of the family's 1533-position model. The record is from RNAcentral.
UACGGAGGAUCCAAGCGUUAUCCGGAAUCAUUGGGCUUAAAGGGUCCGUAGGCGGUUUUAUAAGUCAGUGGUGAAAUCCGGUAGCUCAACUAUCGAACGGCCAUUGAUACUGUAGAACUUGAAUUAUUGUGAAGUAACUAGAAUAUGUAGUGUAGCGGUGAAAUGCUUAGAUAUUACAUGGAAUACCAAUUGCGAAGGCAGGUUACUAACAAUACAUUGACGCUGAUGGACGAAAGCGUGGGGAGCGAACAGG